CCUACGGGGGGCAGCAGUGUGGGAUAUUGGUCAAUGGGGGAAACCCUGAACCAGCAACGCCGCGUGAGGGAAGACGGUUUUCGGAUUGUAAACCUCUGUCCUCUGUGAAGAUAAUGACGGUCGCAGAGGAGGAAGCUCCGGCUAACUACGUGCCAGCAGCCGCGGUAAUACGUAGGGAGCGAGCGUUGUCCGGAUUUACUGGGUGUAAAGGGUGCGUGGGCGGUCCUGCAAGUCAGAAGUGAAAUCCAUGGGCUUAACCCGUGAACUGCUGUUGAAACUGGAGAACUAGAGUGGAGUAGAGGUAGGCGGAAGUCCCGGUGUAGUGGUGAAAUGCGUAGAGAUCGGGAGGAACACCAGUGGCGAAGGCGGCCUACUGGGCUUUAACUGACGCUGAGGCACGAAAGCGUGGGUAGCAAACAGGAUUAGAUACCCGAGUAGUC
This 440-nucleotide ribosomal RNA is filed under the name uncultured bacterium. RNAcentral's name for it is "partial 16S ribosomal RNA". It matches the Rfam family "Bacterial small subunit ribosomal RNA", at positions 338 to 795 of the family's 1533-position model. The record is from RNAcentral.